AACGAACGCUGGCGGCAUGCCUAACACAUGCAAGUCGAACGAGAACUUCGGGACUACUGGCUCACGGGGGCGUCACGCGUGGGAAACGUCCCUUAUGUACGGCAUAAUCCGCAGUAAGGGGUGCUAAUGCCGGCUAAUAUCUUCGAACCCAAGAUUUUGCGGCAUUGGGUGGGCCGGCGAGGGAUUAGCUGGUUGGUAGGGUAAAAGCCUACCAAGGCUACGAUCCAUAGCUGGUCUGAGAGGAUGAUCCGCCACACUGGGAGUGAGAACCGGCCCGGACUCCUACGGGAGGCAGCAGGGGGGAAUAUUGGACGACGGGCGAGAGCCUGAUGCAGUAAGGCUGCGUGAGUGAUGAAGGUCGGAGGGAAAUAAAGCGCUUUUACACCGGAUGAUAAUGACGGUACCGGGAGAAUAAGCACCGGCUAACUCCGUG
This 433-nucleotide ribosomal RNA is filed under the name uncultured bacterium. RNAcentral's name for it is "partial 16S ribosomal RNA". It matches the Rfam family "Bacterial small subunit ribosomal RNA", at positions 29 to 507 of the family's 1533-position model. The record is from RNAcentral.